This 4661-nucleotide long non-coding RNA is filed under the name Nicotiana tabacum (common tobacco). Its description in RNAcentral is "long non-coding RNA (NTAB_LNC004827)". The record is from RNAcentral. Lineage: Eukaryota; Viridiplantae; Streptophyta; Magnoliopsida; Solanales; Solanaceae.
GGCGUUGGGCACCAUUAUGGCAUAUGAUGGAAUUUGGAUUGUGACACUCUACCUUCUAUUAUAUAUAAAUAUACCCAUGUAUUAACACUUAUAUUCCAAUACUCCCCCUCAAGUUGAAGGGUGUAUAGAUGUUCAACACUCUUAGCUUGCCAAGUAACAUAGAAAGUUGCACAAAACUCAGUUCCUUUGUAAGCAAAUCGGCUUAUUGAUCUUUAGUAUUUAGAUACUUUUUCUCCCACAUCCCAUGCUUGAUCUUCUCCCUAAUGAAGUUAUAAUCGUUCUCUAUAUGCUUUUGUUCUUUCAUGGAAGAUGAGAAUGACAGCAAUCAGCAUUGUUGCCUUGCAAUUACAACAAAGAGUCAUAGAUUUCUAGAUUGCAACUCCUAGUUCACUGAAAAGGCCAAUCAACCAAACAAUCUCAGCUACUGUCGAGGUCAUAUUCCUGUACUCUACCUCUACACUGCUUAUUGUAAAUUGUGUGUUGCUUCUUGGACUUCUAGGAUAUCAAGGAAUAUCCAAGCUUCACAAUAUAGACACUAACAUAUCUUCUUGUGACUGGACAUGCUGCCUAGUUUGAGUCGCAAGAUGCAGUCAAAGUAUCUGCAACUUCCUUUCAGCAGAAUUCUUAUUCCAUGACUCAUUAUUCAAAUAUCUUACCACUCUUGUUGCCUUGUCCAUAUGUGAUUAUUUUGGAGCUUGCAUAAAUUGGCUCAAGCUUUGAACAACAUAGAUAAUUUUGGGCCCUGUAACUAUUACGUACAAUAAUUUUGCAAUCAAUUUCUUCGAGCUAAUAGUAUUAACUAGGUGGUCAUCAUCUCCAACCCCAACUACUUUGUCAUAUUCCAGUAUAGUCAGCUUGUGGUUGAGUUCAAGAGGUGUAACUGCAGUCUUAGCAGCACUCAAUCCCAUUUCAGGAAUAAAUUUAAGUGCAUAUUUUCUCUGAUUGAGUAUAAUCCUUUUCUUGUAUCUCAGCACUUCAAUCCCUAAAAAGUAUAUUAAUUCUCCCAAAUCUUUAAACUUUGAAUUCUUGAUUCAGCAUACCAUUGGCUUCAUCAAUCAGGUUUUUGUUUCUACCUAUAAAUAAUAGAUCAUCCACAUAGAUCAACAUGAAGUAAUCAUAAGAACUUCGGCAAAAGUCAGUCUUUGCCAAGGUUUUAGUCAAUUUUAGAUUCCGCUGCCUUGAUGUCUGUUUGAGUCCAUAUAAGGACUUAAGUAAUUUGUAAACCUUCUUAUGCUUUCCCUGUCCUCGAAAAUCUUGAGGCACGUCCAUGUAAACCUCCUCAUAUAAGUCUCCAUGCAAGAAAGUAUUGAAUACAUCCAUUUGAUACAAACUCCAAUCCUCAGAAGCUGCUAAAGCUAUAACAGAUUUUACUAUUACCAUCUUUGCCAUUGGAGAAAAUAUUUUAUAGUAGUCUAACCUUGCCUGUAGGUUUCAUCCUUUAGCAACCAACCUAGCAUUAAAUAUUUCAACCCUCCUAUUUGUUUUGUACUUAAUUUUACAGACCAUUUGGAUCCUAUAGCAGUCUUCCCAACUGGUAAGUUCACUACUUCCCAGGUGUUAUUAUCUUCUAAGGCCAAAACCUCCUCUUGUAUAACUUCAAUCUACCUUUUAUCUUUUACUUCUUCCCUGAAGGUUUAAGGCCUUUCAUAUUGAAAUAGCAUGCAAGUAAUUUCUAUAUUUCUCUAUCACAUGUUCAUAAGACAAGAAAUAUAAAUAGGAUAUGAACUCUAAGAGGUUUUGGGAGGAUUCAACACAUAGUCUUGCGUCUGAAUUAGAGGUUUUUUUGUGGCAUGUCUGUUGGUAAACACCGGCGAGUUAUUCUUCUAGAAUAGGUAACUUUGACUCUAUGAUAUCUAGAGAUUCUGCUGGAACUGUACUCCCUGUAUCAUCACCCUGUUAGAUGUUUACCUUAUUUUAAAUUGUUAUCAUGUUUUUCUUUAACAAAUUUUAUAUUUAAUUUGUUAAUUUAACUGAUAUUUUGCUUUGUUUAAAAAUGAUACUUUUACUCAGUUUUAUUUAUUUCUAAACUAAACCCAUCGGAUACUCUGUUUUGUAUAAAUUGUAUAUUAUUUUACUUUAUUAUUUUUAAAAUAAACUCAUUAUAUUAUUUGACACCUUACUUUAUUCAAGAUUGUUAUUAUGUUUUAAUGUGUUUAAAUAUAUCUCUCGUUCAUCUAAAUUGAUAUUUGUCAGGGUUGCAAAGUACAUGGUAGCACGUGGGCUUUACUGUGCGACGAUGACUAUUAUUGUGGGCACGAGGUGCCAUAUGUGUAAGAAUUGAAAAUUAUGGUUCAUGACUUGUGAUUUAUGAGGUGUGGUGCCUCGGGGUAAUUCUUGUUGUAUGUUCAUGCAAUGGGAGCGAUUUGAUUAUUCGAGUUGUCAUCCAUUUUUCCUUACUUGAGUUUAUUUAUAUCUCAUCGGUGUUCUGAUUAUGUUGUUUCUUUAUUACUCAUUUACUACUUGUUUAUCAUUUAUGUUUCAAUUAUUUCAUUGUUGGUUCUAAAUCGAUUAUCUUUUCCUUGUUGGUCUUACAUUGAAUUUCUUUCCAUUGUUAGUUUAUGUAUAUCUUGAACAUGUUUCUAUGUCUAGCAGGUAUCCUGACUUGGCCUCGUCACUACUCUAUCGAGGUUAGGCUUGAUACUUACUAGGUACUAUUGUGGUGUACUCAUGCGACGCUUCUGCAUAUUUUAUGCAAAUCUAGGUAUUCUGAUCGUGUUGUUGAGAGUUGCUUCUGCGCAGCGGGAGACUUCAAGGUAUACCUACUUGACGUUCGCAGGCCUCGAAGUCACCAUCUUACUUUAUUAUGCUACUAUUAAAUUAUAAUUCAAAACAAUAUUGUGUUUAGAAAUUCUAGUAUGUUUCAGUAGUGCUUAUGACUCCGUACUACCGAUUUUAGGAAAUGUAUAACUAUUGGGCGCUUGCGGCUAUGUAUGUCAUUUAAUGGUUUAUGAUUAAUGAUUAAAUAGUUCAAUUCUGUUAUUAUAUCAGCAUGUGUUAGUCUUACCUAGUCUUAGAGACUAUGUGCCAUCAUGACAUCCUAAGGUGGGAAAUUGGAGUUGUGACAGUGGGUAUUUUCGUACGGUUAAUAUGAUGUUGGCACGAUAAGUAUUAUUUCUGUGCGGUUUGAAAUGAAAUUAGUUUGUUUGUUAUUACUGUGGAAAAGGAAAGAAAUUGGAUUUCUGUUAUGAUUACUCAUUCGUUAAGCACUUACAUUCCCCUUUAUUUUAGUUUCUGAAAAAUGUUUGUUGUUUAGUAUGAUACCUUCCGCUUGAGUUCCCUUGGUAGUUACCUCUGCAUUUUUCCUUUGGGCCAUUACUGUUAUAGCUAUGUUGUUGCCUUGUUUGUUAUUGUUAUACCUGUAUUUUACUUGAUUUACUUAUGUUACAUGUCCUCUUCGAAUUCAUGCCGCUACUUGUUAUUAGCCUAUACCGAUUUUAUGCCUCUAAUUGUCACGUGAUUUACUUGUUAAAUCCCUUAACAUGCUACAUGUCUUCACUCACUACAUGCUUUCACUUACUACAUAUCUUCACUUACUAUUGAUUUUACUUACCAUAUGCUUUCAUUUAUUAAAUGCAUUUACAUGCUACAUGCUUCUACUUGCUAUAUGAUUUCAUAUACUAAAUGCCUUUAUCUGAUCCAUGUUCCUACUUGACAAACAUCUUUACCGUUUCAUGUUCUACUCUCUUUUGCUUAACUGGAGUGGGUGACUUUUAGAUUGGUUGUGUGUUAUGCAUUGUGGAAGCCUUGCCAUUUGCCAUUUUAUACGGUAGACUAGCUUUUGAUAUUGGAUUGCUCUCUUACUCUGUUUGAGUUGUAUUGUCUAGUUGAAUACCGCGUGUUUAUUUUCUUAGUGUUACAAUGUGAACUUUGUCUGUGUUUGGUUGUUGUUGCGGUUUCAUGUUAUAUUAUUGAUAUUUGGAUCGGGUUGCAAGCCGUAACAGAGUUUAUUGAUAUUGGGAUCGGAUUCAUGCCAGAAUAGUGUUUAUUGAUCCUGGGAUCGGGUUGCACACCACAACAGUGUUAAUUAAGAUUAGGAUCAGGUUGCACGCCGCAACUGUAUUUGUUGGUGGUGUUUGGUUAUGAUCCCUGUGCAUAUUUCAUGAUUAUUAUUCCCUGCGUAGAAAUAGUUAUGAGGUCAUGUGUUAUUUUCCAUGUCUGUUAACUUGCUCCAUAGCUUUUCAGUUGAUAUUCCUACCAUUAUUCGACAUAUUUCUUACCUUAUUUUUUCUGCUUAUUAUCUACACAGGUAUAUAUUAAGUGAGUAUCUCUAACUUAAAACCUCUUCACUACUUUACCGAAGUUAGCCAAGAUAUUUACUGAGUACAUGAGAUCGGUUAUCCUCAUACUACACUUCUGCAUCUUGCAUGCGGAUCUUGGAGUUGCGUAGCUGUGGAAGACGAAGCCCGGCAUUGAAGACGUACCUGCGUUCCAGAUUCAAGCUGCCUCUUGUUCAUGGUAGUUUAGGACCUAAAUUCUGUUUAUGUAUAUUUCAACCAAAUAUUGUAUUUAUCCUUCAUAUCGACUUUGUAAGUCCUAAUCAUUGUGGCUCAUGACUUGUACUACCAGUCCUUGAGGUAGUUAUAUUAUAUUCGGUUGUAGUUUCUAUUAUAUAUAUUACAAUUUAAUUGUAACUUAUAUUGAUUGUCUUACCUAGCGGGUUG